Molecule: unclassified non-coding RNA, 253 nt
Filed under: uncultured Alphaproteobacteria bacterium
Lineage: Bacteria; Pseudomonadati; Pseudomonadota; Alphaproteobacteria
Description: contains 16S-23S intergenic spacer region
Rfam family: Bacterial small subunit ribosomal RNA
Source: RNAcentral
UACGAAGGGUCUUAGCGUUGUUCGGACUAACUGGGCGUAAAGGGUGCGUAGGUGGCCGUGUGCGUUAGAUGUGAAAUCCCCGGGCUUAACCUGGGAACUGCAUUUAAUACGGCACGUCUAGAGUGCGAGAGGGGAAAGCGGAAUGGCGAGUGGAGCAGUGAAAUGCAUUGAGAUUCGCUAGACCACCAGAGGCGAAGGCGGCUUUCUGGCUCGCUACUGACACUAAGGCACGAAAGCGUGGGGAGCAAACAGG